GCCCGGCAAAUACAGGAAUAGCUCAUUCAGUGGAGCAGGAGACUCUUAAUCUCAGGGUUGUGGGUUCAAUCCUCAUGUUGUGCA
This is a non-coding RNA of Podarcis lilfordi (Lilford's wall lizard), 84 nucleotides long. NCBI's taxonomy places the organism in Eukaryota, Metazoa, Chordata, Lepidosauria, Squamata, Lacertidae. The record is from the annotation of a GenBank genome assembly.